UCCCAGGUGGCCUAGCAGUUAAAGACUCAGCACUGUCACUGCUGUGGCUUGGGUUGAUCCCUGGCCUGGGAA
RNAcentral lists this transfer RNA (72 nucleotides) under Sus scrofa (pig). It matches the Rfam family "tRNA". From Rfam's summary of the family: Transfer RNA (tRNA) molecules are approximately 80 nucleotides in length. Lineage: Eukaryota; Metazoa; Chordata; Mammalia; Artiodactyla; Suidae. The record is from Rfam by way of RNAcentral.